UCAGCGAUACCCGGGCCACGUGCCCAACUUCCUGAGCCAGACCCAGGGCUACCUGCGGAGUCCACAGGACCCCCUGCGCCGGGCAGCCGCAGUGCUUAUAGGGCUGAAUGAGGAACGCGCCACUGGGCACACAAAGAAGAGGCUGCUCUAGGAGCCGCCAAUGCUGUGACAUCACCGCUCUGGCUUUGGGCGGCAGGUUCCUGAGCCUAGGAUGCCUGCCUGGAAAUGUCCUUGCAUUCAAGGCCUCCUUCGCAGCCUCCUCCUCAGAGAAGCCUCCGCAAGUGCACAGGGAGUGUGCGCAGCCUUGUGAAGGGCUGGGACCACUUGCCCAGACCGGGGCCCCUCGGGCACAGGCGUGGGGUCCUACUGACCUGUCUCCCCAGCUCCACACGGAAAGCAUCUAAAAUACACACACAUGGAUGG
RNAcentral lists this small RNA (423 nucleotides) under Pongo abelii (Sumatran orangutan). RNAcentral's name for it is "processed transcript". The record is from RNAcentral. Lineage: Eukaryota; Metazoa; Chordata; Mammalia; Primates; Hominidae.